RNAcentral lists this ribosomal RNA (253 nucleotides) under uncultured bacterium. Its description in RNAcentral is "partial 16S ribosomal RNA". It matches the Rfam family "Bacterial small subunit ribosomal RNA", at positions 524 to 776 of the family's 1533-position model. The record is from RNAcentral.
UACGUAGGGUGCGAGCGUUAAUCGGAAUUACUGGGCGUAAAGCGUGCGCAGGCGGUUCGUUAAGUCAGAUGCGAAAGCCCCGGGCUCAACCUGGGAACUGCAUUUGAAACUGGCGGGCUUGAGUGUGGCAGAGGGGGGUGGAAUUCCGCGUGUAGCAGUGAAAUGCGUAGAGAUGCGGAGGAACACCGAUGGCGAAGGCAGCCCCCUGGGCUAGCACUGACGCUCAGGCACGAAAGCGUGGGGAGCAAACAGG